CAAGAAUUAAAAGUAAUUUUGCAGUUAUACAUGAUAGUUAUUUAAAUAUGUAAAAUAUAUAUAAGCAUAUCUUGCUUUAUAGUAUUUUGAUAAUAUCACACUACAGUUAUAUUGUAUGUUUUUAUUUUAUAUUUCAAAAGGAAAAUUAUCUUUAACUAAUCACAAAAUAAUACUUAGAAUAGAUAUAUAAAACAUAAAUUAAGAUACAGGUAGCUGGCCUAGAACCCUUCUGAAAAUCUGGAAGUUUGAGUUCCAGAAUUGAACCUGGUUCCUCCAAGGUAGUGAGUGAGUGCUUUACCACGUGGCCAGUUUUUAAGCACAAGCAACGUUAGACAUUUAAUGAAUUAUAGUGUAAAUGUUUUAUGUCACUAUUUUUUGCACAAUGUUAUGUUAAUGUAUAUUUUUAUAUACAUUAACAAAUGAAAAAGCCUGUGAUUUGCUUUACAGUGAUAGUUUGGAAUGUAACUACCAUAAUAAUAUGGUAUGCCUGUAUAAUAUCAGCUUUAAUCAUAACAGUGGAAUAUAGUUUUAAUGUCAAAUAUGGCAUUUUAAUAAAAAUAUGUUUAUUUCAAGAAAAUAUAUAUUGUGAAUAUAUUACUUUAGUUCUAAAAUAUUUAUUUUCAUUGUAAGUCAAAAUUGUUUUUGUUUUAUAGUUAACUUAUAUUAUAUAUAUAAAUCAAAUCACUAUACUCUGAUUGCUCUUUGCUCUUC
RNAcentral lists this long non-coding RNA (711 nucleotides) under Androctonus crassicauda. The record is from RNAcentral. Lineage: Eukaryota; Metazoa; Arthropoda; Arachnida; Scorpiones; Buthidae.